Molecule: small nuclear RNA, 39 nt
Filed under: Cervus elaphus hippelaphus
Lineage: Eukaryota; Metazoa; Chordata; Mammalia; Artiodactyla; Cervidae
Source: RNAcentral
AUCAUAUCUUGGCCUUUUGGCUAAGACCAAGUGUAGAAU